UACGGAAGGCAGCAGUGGGGAAUAUUGCACAAUGGGCGCAAGCCUGAUGCAGCCAUGCCGCGUGUAUGAAGAAGGCCUUCGGGUUGUAAAGUACUUUCAGUCGUGAGGAAGGUGUUAAGGUUAAUAACCUUAGCAAUUGACGUUAGCGACAGAAGAAGCACCGGCUAACUCCGUGCCAGCAGCCGCGGUAAUACGGAGGGUGCGAGCGUUAAUCGGAAUUACUGGGCGUAAAGGGCACGCAGGCGGUUAAUUAAGUUGGAUGUGAAUCCCCGGGCUUAACCUGGGAAUGGCAUUCAAGACUGGUUAGCUAGAGUCUUGUAGAGGGGGUAGAAUUCCAUGUGUAGCGGUGAAAUGCGUAGAGAUGUGGAGGAAUACCGGUGGCGAAGGCGGCCCCUGGGACAAAGACUGACGCUCAUGUGCGAAAGCGUGGGGAGCGAAACAGGAUUAGAUACC
Molecule: ribosomal RNA, 453 nt
Filed under: uncultured bacterium
Lineage: Bacteria
Description: bacterial SSU rRNA
Rfam family: Bacterial small subunit ribosomal RNA
Source: RNAcentral